RNAcentral lists this ribosomal RNA (468 nucleotides) under uncultured bacterium. RNAcentral's name for it is "partial 16S ribosomal RNA". It matches the Rfam family "Bacterial small subunit ribosomal RNA", at positions 28 to 507 of the family's 1533-position model. The record is from RNAcentral.
GACGAACGCUGGCGGCGUGCUUAACACAUGCAAGUCGAACGGAAAGACGCUGCGUUUGUUGGGUGCUCGAUUGGCGAAGGGGGGAGUAACACGUGAGUAUCCUGCCCUUGACUGUGUGAUAACUUCAGGAAACUGGGGCUAAUACCGGAUAGGAUCUCCUGCUGCGUGUGGGGGGAUGGAAAGUGUCGGCCGUUGGGGCUGGACUCGCGGCUUAUCAGCUGGUUUGUGGGGUAGUGGCUUACAAAGGCUUUGAAGGGUAGGCCGCGUGAGAGGGUAGACAGGCACAUUGCGACUGCGAUACGGCGCAGACGCCAACGGGAGGCAGCAGUGGGGAAUAUUGCACAACGGCCGGAAGCCUGAUGUAGCAACGCCGCGAGCGGGAUGCCCGCUUUCGGGUUGUAAACCGCUUUCGCAUGUGACGAAGAGUGAGUGACGGUAAUGGGUAAAGAAGCAACGGCUAACUACGUG